This 1623-nucleotide long non-coding RNA is filed under the name Ursus maritimus (polar bear). Its description in RNAcentral is "lncRNA (ENSUMAG00000009941.1)". Lineage: Eukaryota; Metazoa; Chordata; Mammalia; Carnivora; Ursidae. The record is from RNAcentral.
AUCAGGCUCUUCUGCUUCCCGGCCCCGCAGCUCCCUUCCCUUCUCGCUUGCCUCUCUGGAUGCUUUCUCAGAAGCUGGACUCCCCGUCCCUCUCCCUGGCUGGUCCAGAGCCCUUUACUGCUGAGGCAGCACAGUUCCCGUCAACUGGGUUGUUUUACCAAGUGUCUUCAGAGGGGAUGAGUUAGAGUGCUGGCCUGGGGAGAGGGUGCCUCCCCAGGUUUGAUCUGUAGGGUCCAGCUUUCUGCAGGGAAGAUGUUUUACAGAUGUGUCAAGCUGAUGUUGUAAUGUGGUUGGGGAAGGAACUCCAGACCCAACGUGUUUGCCAGCUGGGUACGCGCAACUCUGGGAUCCUCGGUCUUAAAAUGAUUUUUCUCUUUGUACUGGGAAACAAGUCAUGCUGUCACCAAGCUGAAGAAAAACCCACUGUGGCUGCUGGUUCUGAAUCGCAGAAAUCAGAUGAGUCCAGGUGUCCAUGGCAGAGUGAAUGGACCAGAGGCGAGACAGUGGCGAGAGAAGCUGGCUGCACACGAUUCAGAUGCCAUCACGGUGCCACCUCCCCUUUGGAUGUCCUCGAUUCUCACGGGAGGUCAGCCAGGCCCCUGCUGGCCCACGGGAGCCAGCUGCCACUGAUGAGGGCCACUCUCGGCACUCAGCCCAGCGCAAGUUUGAGCUAAGUCAUUCUGUGUUCAUAGUUUUUUGUAAUUUCUUUUUUAUCUACACACAAGUUUUAUAUAAAUGUAUAAAUAGAACUACCUCUUGGGGCGCUUGGGUGGCGCAGUCAGUUGAGCAUCCAACUCAUGAUUUCGGUUCAGGUCUGAUCUCGGGGUCGUGGGAUCAAGCCCCACGUCAGGCUCCCCGCUCAGUGCAGAAUCUGCUUGAGAUCCUCUCCCCGUCUCCCCCUGCCACUCCCACUCAUGCUCUCUCUCUCUUCCUCUCUAAAAUAAAUAAAUCUUUAAAAAAAAAACUAUUUCUUACAUGCUGCUUCUUGUCCUGUCUUACUUUCCUGCGUUGCUUGUUGCAGACUUCUCCCUCCCCCACAUUGCUCACCCCCUUCCUGUGUGUCUUUCCACGGUUUACUCCGUGCUCUCUAAUCAUAAUCAUAAAUCAAGAUUUUUGUCAUGGCUUUAUCAAAAAUGCAAUCAUAUUACAGGCACUCAUUUGUUGUUUUGCUUACUCAGUACAUCCCAGAGUUCUCUUCAAGUCAGCUGGCGUAGCUCUAAUCCUUUCUUUUUAAUGGCUGAUAUUCCAUAGUGUGGGUACGCCAUUUAUUCCACUGUUCUCUUAUUGAAGCUGGGUCGCAUCCUGCUCAAAGAUUAUUUGGAUUAUAAGUCAAGAAGUUCGGAGUUAGUUUUAAAAACACUUGUUUUUCAAAAUGUAUAUUCAUCUUUCUUUGCUCCGCUAAUGUAUGUUCUUCAAAAAUUCAAAACUCAGGGGCACCUGAGUGGUUCAGUCAGGUAAGUGUCUGCCUUUGGCUCAGGUCACGAUCCCAGGGUCUGGGAUCGAGCCCCACAUAGGGCUCUUUGCUCAGCGGGGAUCCUGCUUCUCCCUCUGCCUGCAACUCCCCCUGCUUGUGCACACACUCUCUCUCAGAUGAAUAAAUAAAAUCUUUUAAAAUUUUUUUCA